Molecule: ribosomal RNA, 253 nt
Filed under: uncultured bacterium
Lineage: Bacteria
Description: partial 16S ribosomal RNA
Rfam family: Bacterial small subunit ribosomal RNA
Source: RNAcentral
UACGUAGGCAGCAAGCGUUGUUCGGAAUUACUGGGCGUAAAGAGCGCGCAGGCGGUCGUUUAAGUCGAAUGUGAAAGCCCCCGGCUCAACUGGGGAGGGUCAUUCGAUACUGAUCGACUUGAAGGCAGGAGAGAGAAGUGGAAUUCCCGGUGUAGUGGUGAAAUGCGUAGAUAUCGGGAGGAACACCAGUGGCGAAGGCGACUUCUUGGCCUGUUCUUGACGCUGAGGCGCGAAAGCUGGGGGAGCAAACGGG